UACGGAGGGGGCUAGCGUUGUUCGGAAUUACUGGGCGUAAAGCGGGUGUAGGCGGAUCGCUAAGUCGGGGGUGAAAGCCCAGGGCUCAACCCUGGAAUUGCCUUCGAUACUGGCGAUCUUGAGUCUGGGAGAGGUGAGCGGAAUUCCGAGUGUAGAGGUGAAAUUCGUAGAUAUUCGGAGGAACACCAGAGGCGAAGGCGGCUCACUGGACCAGUACUGACGCUGAGACCCGAAAGCGUGGGGAGCAAACAGG
This 253-nucleotide unclassified non-coding RNA is filed under the name uncultured Hyphomonadaceae bacterium. RNAcentral's name for it is "contains 16S-23S intergenic spacer region". It matches the Rfam family "Bacterial small subunit ribosomal RNA", at positions 524 to 776 of the family's 1533-position model. Lineage: Bacteria; Pseudomonadati; Pseudomonadota; Alphaproteobacteria; Hyphomonadales; Hyphomonadaceae. The record is from RNAcentral.